Molecule: long non-coding RNA, 1795 nt
Filed under: Sinocyclocheilus grahami
Lineage: Eukaryota; Metazoa; Chordata; Actinopteri; Cypriniformes; Cyprinidae
Description: lncRNA (ENSSGRG00000054546.1)
Source: RNAcentral
CCAUGUAUAUUUAAGCCCGAGCGUGCUGUCUUAAACGUCGAUCCCCAUUCCUACUUGUGUGUUCCGGCUUACUAGAGGUCAAUAAAGACGGCAUGAUUAAGAUUCUCCUAUGGCUCCUUUGCGCCAACACAGUAGGCAACACCAUGACAAAAGACAGCACCUAACAGAAAAUUGCUGCACGCUUCAUCACACUAGCCCGUCCUGAGAGUGUCCUGCAUCGAGCCAGACCCAGCCCGCCGGCCGCUCCUCAGUCAAGCCCGCCAGCCGUGGCACUCUCCAGCAUGCCGGCCGCGCCGAUGUCAAGCCCACCGGCCGAACCGUUCUCCCUUAACCAAAGGAGGAGAAUGAGGAGAAAAAGACUGUUCUCCGCCCUCAUCCUAGCUCCAGAGCUCGCUCCAGUGUCGGCUCCAGUGUCGGCUCCAGCCCCAGAGCUCGCUCCAGUGUGGGUUCCAGUCCCUGAAUCCAGCCCAGCGAGGGCUCCAGUCCCCGAGUUUAGCACAGCGAGGGCUCCAGUCCCCGAGUUUAGCCCAGAGAGGCAACACUGUGACACCAGUAGUGCCCCGACAGUGCAGAGGUAUGUGAUGCUACAGACUGACCCACUGACCCUCCUGGCCCAAAAGCUCAACAACAGAAUCCAUGAUUGGCCCAGUGCUUACCUCAGCGGUGGAUGUGCCAGCUACAGAAAACUCCUGAGGUGGUCGCCAGGCUCUAGAGUUCUCUAUAAAUUACCAGGAAACUUAUGGAACCUUCUGGAACUAUGGAGUGAGAUCUAAUACUCAUAUUGUGCCGUUAAACAUUUCAUUUGGUAUGUGCUAGAUAUAUUGAUUGAUUUGUUCACAUAAGUUUGAGGAGAUUAUUAAAUCAAUACCGACCUUAAUUACUAAAUAUUUAUUAAUAUUUUUUACCAAUGUUUUUAGCAAAUUUCAGUGGUAUAACAUAGUAAAAUCUACUUGCAUUUUAAACAUAAUAUUGAACAAAGUGAGUGAAUAAAUAUCUUAACUUUAAGUUCAUAAAAUAAGUUUUACUUGCAAAUCUGAUGCAAUGGCACUCACAAAAAAUUGAAUGGAUGUUGAAGUAUAAUAGAUGGUAUACACACGCAUAACAAAACUGAUAAUGUCCAGAAUAAUGAUAAUGUCUGACAAUGUCCAAAUCUGAUAAUGACAGAAAAUGGCAGGUACCUUUUCCAUUUCCAAUACAAUCAAUCUACAAAAUUCUUUCAUAUCAACAUGGUAUACUGAGUCAUAUUUUUACAGAUGUUUUGUAGUGUUUAAGAUAUUUCAUACCACCCAGUUGAAUAUGUGUUGUUUAAUAUGUGAAAUAUGUUUUCUUUUUCUGUAUGCUAAGUUUAGGAAACAUACACAUACACAAUAACAGUAACAAUAACUGGAUAAUUUUUUAUUUCUGUACUGCAACAAACAGUAGAGACAGCAAUGUGAAGGUCAUAGUUCCCAGGCAAUAAAAUAUAUACCUUGAAUACAAUGUAACUUGCUUUGGAUAAAGGCCAAAUCUGCCAAAUGCAUAUAUGUAAAUGUCAUGUAAAUCAUUGAGGGGAAAAAAUAAUAAUUCAGCACAGAAAAACAACUUACCAAACUUGAUAACAAUAACAACAGUGCAAAUAAACCUGGCAAACAUUGAAAAUAUGCAAACUUAUUAAUUAUUCAUGUCCCACUGCAUACUGGGAGCACCUGCAUUGUAAAGCAUAGUAGAUUUGACUUGAUUUAUACAUUUGAAGUUUACUAAAACCUGUGCAUCUUGAAAUAAAUGAGAACUCAUUAAUAUAUAGAUUUGAAACCCU